UCGGGUCUUCUGUGAGACUUCUAUGUCUUUAUAAACCAGUUAAGCAUGUUUAGAAUGUGUUAUAUUGGGACUUCAUUGACCCUUUAAACUAUACAACUUUCAGCAACGGAUCUCUUGGCUCUCCCAUCGAUGAAGAACGCAGCGAAAUGCGAUAAGUAAUGUGAAUUGCAGAAUUCAGUGAAUCAUCGAAUCUUUGAACGCACCUUGCGCCCUCUGGUAUUCCGGAGGGCAUGCCUGUUUGAGUGUUAUUAAAUUC
This 256-nucleotide ribosomal RNA is filed under the name Collybiopsis polygramma. Its description in RNAcentral is "Gymnopus polygrammus 5.8S ribosomal RNA". The stretch from base 95 to 248 matches the Rfam family "5.8S ribosomal RNA". Rfam says of the family: 5.8S ribosomal RNA (5.8S rRNA) is a component of the large subunit of the eukaryotic ribosome. It is transcribed by RNA polymerase I as part of the 45S precursor that also contains 18S and 28S rRNA. Lineage: Eukaryota; Fungi; Basidiomycota; Agaricomycetes; Agaricales; Omphalotaceae. The record is from RNAcentral.